RNAcentral lists this ribosomal RNA (431 nucleotides) under uncultured bacterium. RNAcentral's name for it is "bacterial SSU rRNA". It matches the Rfam family "Bacterial small subunit ribosomal RNA", at positions 354 to 776 of the family's 1533-position model. The record is from RNAcentral.
GUGGGGAAUCUUGCGCAAUGGACGAAAGUCUGACGCAGCCACGCCGCGUGAGUGAAGAAGGCCUUCGGGUUGUAAAGCUCUGUCGCCCGGGACGAAAAGUAGAUUGGUGAAUAGCCAGUUUAUGUGACGGUACCGGGAAAGGAAGCACCGGCUAACUCCGUGCCAGCAGCCGCGGUAAUACGGAGGGUGCAAGCGUUGCUCGGAAUUAUUGGGCGUAAAGGGUAGGUAGGUGGUCUCAUUUGUCUGGGGUGAAAGCCUUAAGCUUAACUUAAGAAGUGCCCCAGAAACGGUGAGACUAGAGUCUUGGAGAGGGUCGUGGAAUUCCCGGUGUAGCGGUGAAAUGCGUAGAGAUCGGGAGGAACACCAGAGGCGAAGGCGGCGACCUGGACAAGUACUGACACUCAACUACGAAAGCGUGGGGAGCAAACAGG